UACGUAGGGAGCAAGCGUUAUCCGGAUUUACUGGGUGUAAAGGGCGCGUAGGCGGGAGUACAAGUCAGGUGUGAAAUCUGGGGGCUCAACCCCCAAACUAGCAUUUGUAAACUAGUAUUUCUUUGAGUGAUGGAGAGGCAAGUGGAAUUCCUAGUGUAGCGGUGAAAUGCGUAGAUAUUAGGAGGAACACCAGUGGCGAAGGCGACUUGCUGGACAUUAACUGACGCUGAGGCGCGAAAGCGUGGGGAGCAAACAGGAUUAGAUACCCCGGUAGUCCCU
This 279-nucleotide ribosomal RNA is filed under the name uncultured prokaryote. RNAcentral's name for it is "partial 16S ribosomal RNA". It matches the Rfam family "Bacterial small subunit ribosomal RNA", at positions 524 to 798 of the family's 1533-position model. The record is from RNAcentral.